This 460-nucleotide ribosomal RNA is filed under the name uncultured bacterium. Its description in RNAcentral is "partial 16S ribosomal RNA". It matches the Rfam family "Bacterial small subunit ribosomal RNA", at positions 338 to 795 of the family's 1533-position model. The record is from RNAcentral.
CCUACGGGUGGCAGCAGUGAAGAAUAUUGGUCAAUGGCCGGAAGGCUGAACCAGCCAUGCCGCGUGAAGGUCAGUGCCCUAUGGGCGUUACACUUCUUUUGUGCGGGAGCAAUAAUGGUCACGUGUGGCCAGACGAGAGUACCGUACGAAUAAGCAUCGGCUAACUCCGUGCCAGCAGCCGCGGUAAUACGGGGGAUGUAAGCGUUAUCCGGAUUUAUGGGGUUUAAAGGGUGCGUAGGCUGUGAGGUAAGUCAGCGGUGAAAUGCCCCGGCUCAACGGGGUGAAGUGCCAUUGAUACUGCCUUGCUGGAAUGCGGAUGCCGUGGGAGGAAUGUGUGGUGUAGCGGUGAAAUGCAUACAUAUCACACAGAACACCGAGUGCGAAGGCAUCUCACGAAUCCGCGAUUGACGCUGAUGCACGAAAGCGUGGGUAUCAAACAGGAUUAGAUACCCGUGUAGUC